Molecule: long non-coding RNA, 4038 nt
Organism: Hydra vulgaris (swiftwater hydra)
Lineage: Eukaryota; Metazoa; Cnidaria; Hydrozoa; Anthoathecata; Hydridae
Source: RefSeq, a predicted model, not a curated record
GAGUUACAGUAAGUUAAGCAAUAUAAAAUGUUAAGAUCCAGGCAAUAGGUCUUAUAUGAUAUAUAUCUUAUUUAUAUCUUGUAUUCUGCAGCAUGUUAAAGAAUAUAUCUGCAUGGUGCACUCUGACUGUUGACAAUAUUCGCAUAUUGAUAUGAGUAAAAGUUACUUCAAGAACCAGAAAGUGUUUUUGAUAAAUAUUAAUAAUAACAGGAUUUUUAAUUAGAUUUUGUUUAUCUAUUGGAAAAGUGUUAAGGAAUUUUUGGGCUCUAAUGACAGGUUUUUUUUUUGGAAUGAGGGACUUGUAUCUAGUAGCCACGGCACUGUAUUUAAGUAACUAAAGGAAUGUUAUCAAUUUAUUAUAUGAAUCAUAAGCAUGUGCUUUUCUAUAACAAGUACCUUUGAUGGUGAAAAUUACAUUUUUUAUCUGAAGAGAGUUGGGAGAAAUGUUCAUAUUGAAACGAUAUAUUGUGUAAAGAGGUUUUCAAAGAAGUCGUUUUACAACAAUGGAAAAGCUUUCGAUUCCCGAGAUAAACGUGAAAGCAUUUGAUACAUGAUUAAAGAAUUGUUCAAAGUUAGAGUUAGAAACAACUGGGAAAAAAAGAUAAAGAUUGUAUAGCAAGAUAACAAUUGACAGACGACUUAAAAGAUUGCAAAUGAUAUGAAUCAGCAAAGCAAGGUGAAUAAGUAAAACUUUUUGUAUUAAAAAAUUUUAUGUCUAAAAAUUUUUCAUUUUAGGUUUUAAUAAUUACCUUCUAAUCUAUUUUUUAUUUUGUUUCCUUUAAAAUGUUUUUAAAUUAUAAAUUUGAACUUCCUGUUGGUUGCAAUUUAUUGAAAGCUUUUGGUUGGUAGCGACAAGUUAAUGUUCCAAUAUAUUCAAAGCAACAGAUAAUUAAUAGGGUUGAUUUUUAGAAUCUCAACAUUAGUACGUGUUCCCAAAAUAAUUGUAUACGGAAACAGUUAGCAGUUGAGUUCAGAGUAUGACAGUUGAUGCUAAUGUUGAUAUUCUAAAUUACGUUGUGCCAUUGAUUUUUAUACUUCGAUCAGCAAGGUAUAUAAAAGUGGAUUUAAAUACAUUAUUGGUUGAACAUGCUGGUUUCAGAGAUAGUAUUACUAUUUUUGACAACGUUUUACGUUUUUGAUUUGCAGUAUCCAAACGAAUUGCGAGUAGUAUUUUCGUUACUUGAAAAAGUUUGUGGCAUUCCAGAAAAAAUUACUAGUUUAAUUGCAAAUGAUUAUAUUAGACAACUGAAUAUUAAGUUAAAUUUAUAAUAAAUCUAGGUGCAAUAUAGUUUUUUUUUUCUAUUGCAUAAUUAGUUUUCUACUGGGUUUUUAUCUAAUUUUGACUUGUUUUUGUUUGACAAAUCAUCUGAAAUAUGUUAAAUAUUUUAGUGAAAAGUAUAUUCAUAAAUUUUAAAAAGUUUGUGUUUUUUUAUUUUAGUUUAUAUCUUUCUUUUAGGAUAACAACUAAAAAUAUAAAAAAUUCCAUUUUUUAAGCUUUAAUUGAUCACUCUUUAUGUUAUGCAUCUUUUGUUGUGCUGGUUUAUAUUUUAUUGAAAGUUGAUACAUGCAUCUUUUUGAUGCAAUAUAUCUAUAUUUUGAAUGCGUUUGCAUUUAAACUUUAUACGAGAAAUAAAAUAUAUUAGUAGACGUACAAUAACAGUUAAUAUAAAAUUUUACUCAAUUCGAAGUUUUGCUCGAUCCGCUGUCUUAAAAUAAAGAAACUCUCUCUAUUAUUCUUCUAGGCAUUUAAUAUUUCUUUACUAGAAGUAUGAGUGAGACAUUUUUACUUUCUCUGGUAAAGAUAUAAAAAAUUAACAGCCUUUAUAAUAUUACGUUAAUUCAGCAAGUUGCAUUAUAUACGUUGAUGCAACAUUGAUUAUAUAAAGAAAAUUAUUACAUAUUAAUUUCCUUGUUUUAAGGCAUUAAACAUUAGUUUCAUAUUUCAAAGGAUACUUUCCUAAUGUCAUAUUUUAACUGGACUAAUAACCUACAAAAUUUUAAAACAACACAUAUUUACUUUCUUUUUUUUCUAGAUUCAAACACUAUGUAUUAUACUGACUGGUGCGAAGGAAUUUUAAAGAAAGUUUGGGAAUUUCUGCAAACGCGCUGUGUCAGCAAACAAACAAACUUAACUGGUUUAAAGGGUUUGCUGACUCAGCGAAAGUGAUUCCAGAACAUUCUAUAGCAAUUAUUCAAAACGACAAUAACAAUAAUUUUAUUGUCGUUUUGUUGUUGACAGGAGUUUUGAGUUUUGUUUUACUUUGCUAUAGUUUUGUAGAUUUUUGUAAAGAAUCUUAAAAUAUAAAUAUACAAUAUUUAAUGUAUUUUGAUGCAUUUUCGAAACAUAAAAUGGUAGCAAAGGGUAGUUACAUUUAAUAAUUGUUAAUUGUUUGAUCUUCGUUGCUUCGAAAUUAACUGAAAUCGUGAAAUCAAAGAAGAACUUUAAAAAAGUAAAAACUAUGGGUACAAACCAGAAUAAAAAAAAAACAAUCAUCGGAAGAAGAAUCAACAAAUAAUAAAGAUGUUGAUAUAUUUAUGGCGUCAGUCAAACAAAACAAAACAAUAUCAAAGACUCACUUAACGAAAACAAAAUAAAAACUGUUGCAUUUAUUCGAUGAUAAUUUAUUAAGCACAUUUGAGUUUAAAGAACAUCAAAAGAAAUAUGAAAAUCAACAUCAGGCAGUAAUCGAAUUGUUAAACAGUUAUCCCAACAAUACGAAAUUAUGGGAAACGUUGAUAAAAUGAGUUAAAUAGUUGACGAAAUCAAAAAAUCGAAACAGAAUUCACUCAAGUUAUGGAUAAAAUAAAUGGACGUUUAUUCAGUAGAAAAGACAAUUCUUAAAGUAUAAUACCAGCUAUUCCAUCUAAUGUUGAAAUAUUGCAACGAAAAAAAUACAAAAUCAAGACACCAUUUUCAAGAAGCAGAUCGAGCUUAAACAAAAACAAGAAAAAGCUUUGUUAAAAAAGAAAGCACUAGAAGAAAAACACAAAAGGAAAUAAGAAGCACUUAAAAAAGAAAAUGUUGACGAAAGCACAAGUUUUAUGGAAACUAAUUAUAUUUAUGCAAAUCAAGAAGUUAUGCUAGAUAUUUCAGACAAUGAAUUAAAUGCAGAUAUUGGUGUCUUUAAAUUAUCAAAGUCGAACUCAAUGUUACUUUCAAUUCCAAUUUUAAGCCUUGAAAAAAAAGUUAAUGCAAGAAAGCAAGAUAUUGGACACGAUAUUUUGAGACAGUUAAAAAGAGUUUUGAUUCCUGUUUUUACUUGUGAUUAGCGUAACUAUGAAACUGGAAGUCGGCGUUUUUAGCCUGUGUUAAUCAAGCUCCACGACUGCAGAGUACAAGUAGUUACAAUUAAUACAAUAUUUGUCUGGUUCUGCGUUAACCACCAUUGAUGGAUUGGUUUACUCAAGCUAUGCCUAUGAAGCUCCGAAAGAAAAAUAUGAGCUAAAAUAUGAUGGACACAGAAGACAGUUAAUGCUUUACAAAGACGAGUUAGAAAACUUCAUAUCAAUAAAAAAUGACUAUCCUAAGGAUCUGGAAAUAUCCGCUAAAAAAUUUAUUAGACAGCAGUUACUAACCUCAAAAAAGCAGAAAAAAGGCAAGAAGAGCUCGGCAAUGGAACAUUUUGUAGAAAACUCCAAAAUUUUUUAUAGAAAAAUGUUUACUCAUUAUCAACGUUGGGUUUUCAAAAAUGCAAAAGAAGAAAAUGUUGAAACCUUACGACAGUUUAUUAUUAUAUGAUUAGAGUUUUGAAUUGCUGCAGCUGAAACAAUUCAUGGGCUGCAAAGUACAAGUCGUUAUAAACUAAAACAUGAUCAAUCGUAUUUUAGUGAAACCGGAACAAUUGAAACGAGAAAAUCGUGGUUGAAAAAUCUUGUUUGUAAGCAAAAUCAUGCCUUGUGGAACUGUGACCAAUUUAAACAACUUGAUACUAUAGAUAGAUGGAUUUUGCCAAAAAGUAAUUAAUUAAGUUACAGGGUUAUUCAUUUUUAAAUGCGCGUCUAUUCAUUUUUGCAUGCGCCUUUAUUCAUUCUUAUAUG